Molecule: long non-coding RNA, 1137 nt
Filed under: Anser brachyrhynchus (Pink-footed goose)
Lineage: Eukaryota; Metazoa; Chordata; Aves; Anseriformes; Anatidae
Description: lncRNA (ENSABRG00000002886.1)
Source: RNAcentral
AAGGGAAGGGAAGGGAAGGGAAGGGAAGGGAAGGGAAGGGAAGGGAAGGGAAGGGAAGGGAAGGGAAGGGAAGGGAAAUAAUGUUAACUGAUUUUAGGGUAUUAAUCCAAAUUUUUAUGAGUAUCUAUAGCACGUUGUGCAUUCUCAGGAAAACAGUAACUCAUGUAACCAGUGGUGCCCCUUUAAAAGCCUAUUCUCUGAUGCCUUCAGAAAGACCAACACCUCAUCUCUCUCAAAUGGGGCAGAUGUACAGCAAUACCACAUGGGGUGGCAAGUUCCCCCUCAAAAACACAGCAGAUGAACCGACGUGUGCAGCGCGGGCAAAAUAAUCAGUUCUCUUCAUGCAUCCAGGGGCAUCAAAAAUCUCAUCUGCCUUCCCAAAAGCACCCACAAUAUGCCAUUAGCCCAGGGCAAGGGAGUCAGGUGCUUCCCCCAAAGCCAUUGCACCCAGCCGGGUGGUGGCAGAUGGCUGCUGGGGACAGUUUUCAGCAGGGAAAAACAGGAAUAAGAGCGUGCCCCGGGGCUCGACUCGUCUCUGGAUGCUCCCUCCUGAGCCCCAGCAUGCCUGGCAGCAGCAGCACCUGAGGGUCUCCGUUCCCCCAGCAGAGCCUCACGCCAGGGCAGCACGUGGGCUCCUUCGGCAUCACUUAGGCUACAAGAGUGGAACAUGGUCAGUUGGCAAAACUCAUGAAAGCCUUCCUGUACCACCACACGGCUGGAAGAGCACCGUGUGCAUCACUUCCCAAGCUCAGAGCCACGCCACACCAUGCAAGCCCCCCAGGAGAGCUGCAUUUUCUCUUUUUGAGGUGUUGUACUGCUGCACAACGUGCGCUCGGCCCCCUUGUGAGAGCAAUUCCGCAACCAAGCUGCUGAGCCAGAGAGGGCUGCUUUGCUUCAUCUGUUACUGCCACAGCUUGUUAAAAGGACUGAUUUCCCACCGCGGUGCCGCUUGUUUUCAUGUGAUCAUUUUCAUUAUCUCUAACCAGCCUUUUGUAAACCACUACUCUGCAAGAAACCCCCAAAUUGACCACAGCAGAGACCUAGGCACGCAUGGUGCUCAUAUUCAGGUAGAUUCAAAAAUCUUCAUGAUUUUCCACAUCGGUGGAAAAUCAGCUUUUCCCCUCAAGAAUCAAAAAG